CGGCCCCAACGAUUCCUUCGUCAUCGUCUUCAACCCCCAAAACACCAAAAUCCCUACCUGGUUCGCACACUAAACCCUCACUCUCCUUUUCUUCACCUCCCAAACCCUACAUCCCCUAACGAGCUCACUCUUCGCCUCCUAUGGCUGCCCUCCAACUCAGACCCAAACACAGAACCCUCCACAACCCCUCCCUCAUUCACCUCUUCUCUACCUCUUCGACCCCUCCUGAACCCACCUCUGCCGAGCAAUCCCCGACAUCCGGCUCAUCCGAUCCCUCCGAAUCUCAACGAUCCUUAUCCUCCUAUUUCUCUGAUGUCAAACAACAACAACAGCAACAACAUAGACCCGCUUCCCCAUUUUCACAAAGGAAUCCCACAAUCCCAGCGAAACCUUCGAGCCCUUUAGACUUAUCUUUCUCCAAGCCUUCCGAAAUCGGUUCCCUCGGACAAACCCUCAAGAACUUCGAUGAGUUCCGCCUCCGAUCCUCUGUGUCACCUCUCUCCAGACCCAACUCCGCACAUGCGACGACACCGUCCUCCGAAUCUUCAUCCCAGCCCAUCUCGUUUCGAGAGCCUUACAAACGUUAUAUGACCGAGAGGGACGGCGAGAACGGUACCAACACAGCUUCGGGCCCCGGAGAAUUUGGCGGCAGUGUGUUCGAAGAGUAUUUACGGCAGCUACGUUCGUCGCCCGAGAUGGUACAGAAUGAGCGGAGGAGGCAACAGCUGUUGGCUCAGGAAGUGGUGGAUAAUUUGAAAUUGGAGCAAUCUACGGAUCCGGAUCCGGUUCCGGUUCCGGUGAUUGGCGGGACUGGUACGCUGCCUGUUUCAGUGUUUGGGAAGGAAAGGGAGCAGAAGGAUACGGAGGGGGAGAAAAUGGCAAUGAAGACGGAGUUUGUGAAGAUGGAGGAUAAGGAGACAGAGUCGAGGAUUGGCGGGGUUACGCAUAAGGAUUUGAGGUAGAGCUUGUUGAGACUGAGGAUGUCAGACGAUGAGAAGGCGAAGAAAAGUUCCACUUUUGUAGAAGCGUCUACGGAUCCGGAUCCGGUUCCGGUGAUUGGCGGGACUGGUACGCUGCCGGUUUCAGUGUUUGGUAAGGAAAGGGAGCGGAAGGAUACGGAGGGGGAGAAAAUGGCAAUGAAGACGGAGUUUGUGAAGAUGGAGGAUAAGGAGCCGGAGUCGAGGAGUAUCGGGGAUGUGUUGAUGAAUUUGAAACGGAGGAUGUCAGAUGAUGAGAAGGCGAAGAAAAGUUUCAGUAAGUAACAUGGUUUUGCAUGGUGUUCAAUAUAAUUGAUUCUAAGCAUGUUCUAUCAUUUGGAUAGUAGAUCAUAGAAGAAUGUACAUUCUGUUUUGGGUCUGAGGAAGUUUUAUGGAAUUGGUAAUUUGCAUGCUAGUCUUGGAAUAGAAUAUGAAAAAUAAUAGAAAAUUGUUAUGGUUGGUAGAGGAUGGGAAACUUUGUUUCUUUGUUUGGUAUUUUUAAUGUGAACGCAGAAAGGGGUAGUUUGGAUUGCGUGAUUUUAUGUUAAUAUGUAACCUGCUUUCAUCAAUAAAAUGCUUGAUUACGUAUUAAAAAAAUGUUAAUAUGCUACCACAUUUCUGCAUUCGAUUAUGGCACAUUGAGAGGGGGUCAAAGUUUUCAAUCCAGUGAUUUCUCUAUGCACGUCUAAAUUGUGCUUAUUAUGAUAUUAUAUUUUAAUGUUUCAUGGGGAUUUAACCUCUGUUUUCGGUUGCUGAGAUUGAAGAUAAGUGAAAGGAGUGGAAGUUUCGAAGAGUAGUAUUUUAUUAAUUUGGACCGGUUAAGACAUUAAAGAUGAAAAAUGCAUUUAGGCAGGUAUCUUUUGGACUACUUUCUUUGAGGGAAAAAUCUACUUGCAAGCAAGUUCGUGUACCAAUUCGUGUACCGAUAUUAAUAUAUAAUGUAUAUUUUUAAUGAAACGAUGUCAAUUAAAGAUAA
Juglans regia (Persian walnut) is the source of this 1953-nucleotide RNA transcript. RefSeq lists it as uncharacterized. The transcript has 2 exons. NCBI's taxonomy places the organism in Eukaryota, Viridiplantae, Streptophyta, Magnoliopsida, Fagales, Juglandaceae. The record is from RefSeq and is a predicted model, not a curated record.